CCCUUAGAUGUCCGGGGCUGCACGCGCGCUACACUGAAUGAAUCAGCGUGCUAGAAAACCUUGUUUGACAUGGCUAGGUAACCCAUUGAAAAUCAUUCGUGAUUGGGAUCGGGACUUGCAAAUGUGUCCCUUGAACGAGGAAUUCCCAGUAAGUGCGGGUCAUCAGCUCGCGUUGAUUACGUCCCUGCCCUUUGUACACACCGCCCGUCGCUCCUACCGAUCGAAGAGUUAGGUGGAUUGUUUUGAUCGAUAAGAUUUGACUAUGGUCAACUCUCGUUGUGAAAUUCUGUGAAUCUGACUGUUUAGAGGAAGGAAAAGUCGUAACA
This 326-nucleotide ribosomal RNA is filed under the name uncultured eukaryote. RNAcentral describes it as "partial 18S ribosomal RNA". It matches the Rfam family "Eukaryotic small subunit ribosomal RNA", at positions 1470 to 1796 of the family's 1831-position model. The record is from RNAcentral.